Molecule: unclassified non-coding RNA, 238 nt
Filed under: Conlarium dupliciascosporum
Lineage: Eukaryota; Fungi; Ascomycota; Sordariomycetes; Conlariaceae
Description: partial internal transcribed spacer region
Rfam family: Eukaryotic small subunit ribosomal RNA (bases 1-46)
Source: RNAcentral
AAGUCGUAACAAGGUCUCCGUUGGUGAACCAGCGGAGGGAUCAUUACAGAGUUGCAAAACUCCAUAAACCCUUUGUUUAUAUACCUGUUCAGUUGCUUCGGUAGGCGGCCCCAGGGCGGGGCCUCCAGCCUGCUCACGCAGGUGCCUGCCGCUGGCGUAAAAACUCUUGUUAUAUAUUAUUAUUCUGAGUCACAAAAAAAAUGAAUCAAAACUUUCAACAACGGAUCUCUUGGUUCUG